RNAcentral lists this ribosomal RNA (440 nucleotides) under uncultured bacterium. RNAcentral's name for it is "partial 16S ribosomal RNA". It matches the Rfam family "Bacterial small subunit ribosomal RNA", at positions 338 to 795 of the family's 1533-position model. The record is from RNAcentral.
CCUACGGGAGGCAGCAGUGGGGGAUAUUGCACAAUGGGGGAAACCCUGAUGCAGCGACGCCGCGUGUGUGAAGACGGUCCUCUGGAUUGUAAACCACUGUCCCCAGGGACGACGAUGACGGAACCUGGGGAGGAAGCUCCGCCUAACUACGUGCAAGCAGCCGCGGUAAUACGAAGGGGGAGAGCGUUUUCGGGUAUUACUGGGUGUAAGGGGACGGUAGGCGGGACUGCAAUCUGAGUGUAAAAUCUAGCGGCUCAACCGGUAGCCGCACUCAAAACUGCAGGUCUUGAGUGAAGUAGAGGCAGGCGGAAUUCCUAGUGUAGCGGUGAAAUGCGUAGAUAUUAGGAGGAACACCAGUGGCGAAGGCGGCCUGCUGGGCUUUUACUGACGCUGAGGCUCGAAAGUGUGGGGAGCAAACAGGAUUAGAUACCCUUGUAGUC